UGUAUGGGCUUAUUUCUGAACUAUAUAUUCUGUUUCAUUGAUGUAUCUGUUUAUACCAAUACCAUGCUGUUUCGAUUAUGUACUUUAUAAUAAUUUUUGAGCUCAGAUAGUGCUACCUCUCCAAUUUUCUUCAUUUCUGAGUUGUUUUUAUUAUUCUAGGUCUUUGCAUUUUCAUACGAUUCCAUGUCUACAAAAACUGCUGGGAUUUUGAUUGGAAGUGCAUUGAAUCUAUAUAUUUGAAGAUAAUUGACAUCCUAACAAUAUUGAGUCCUCUAACAUAUGAACAAGUAUAUUUCUCUAUUUGUUUAGGUCUUCUUUAAUUUAUGUCAGCAAUAUUUUGUUUUCAAUGUAUGAAUUCUUCACAUCUUUUGUCACAUUUAUCCCUAAGUAUUUCAUAGUUUUUGAUGUUGUGGUAAAUGGUAUUUUUACUAUUUUCAAUUUCCAGUUGUUCAUUACAAGCAUAUAAAAAUGCAAUUGUUGGGACUCCCCUGGCUGUCAAGUGGUUAAGACUUUGCAUUGCAGUGCAGGGGGGUGCAGGUUCGAUCCCUGGUUACAGAGCUAAGAUCCCACAUGCCUCAUGGCCAAAAAACCAAAACAUAAAACAGAAGCAAUACUGUAACAAAUUCAAUAAAGACUUUUAAAAAAUGGUCCACGUCAAAAAAAUCAUGCAAAAAUAAUAAUAAUGCAGUUUUAAAAUAAUGCAUUAGGACUCCAUGCUUCCACUGCAGGGGGCCGGGUUCGAUUCCCUAGUUGGGGAACUAAGAUGCCACAUGCCACAUGGAAAAAAAAAAAACAACACUGAAAGGAUAAAUCUUUCCUUAUAUAUGGAGCAAAAAAUGCAAGUUGCAGAUGAAAUCUUAUGCAUUUAUAUGAAUGCAAAACGUGCUUUGUAUUGCUUUCGAAUACAGGCAUGUAAAGUUUCAGGAAAUGUAUGGAGUGAUCCACAUCUCAUUCAGGAUAGUGGCUGCCUCUGGAGGAAGGGGGGUUUCUAUUGGCGAGGGAAACACAGGUGUUUCAGCCUGUAGGUUGAUUUUUUUUUUUUUUCAGCGUAGGAGUGUGUUCACAGGGUUUCAUUGAAUCUCUGACGAGUUUACUGUAUUUUACAUGUUUUUCUUAAAAGAAAAACAAGCAGACGUCUAACGUUAAAUUCCAGAGAUGUGAGAAUUUGGAUGCUGAAUGGUGAACUGGUGGCAAAGAAAAGCUGUGGAAAGGGGAGCUUCUGCAUGGUCACCAGCAGUAGAGAAGCAUCUUGACGUCCUUCUGCGGGGACUCAGAAUCCCAUAGUGUUGACCUUAGUGACUCUUGGACUCUUAGCUGGAGAAGAUGAGUUAAUCCUAGGAUUUGAGAGCAUAAGGUAACUUCAAGUCUACCUGACUUGUGCUAGUUAUGAUACUAUUGGCGACCCUACAACCCAGUUCAUAAAAUACCCUACUUGUUCCAAGUAAUGUAUCCUGGACUCCUCCUCCCUUUACCUU
Molecule: long non-coding RNA, 1475 nt
Filed under: Phocoena sinus (vaquita)
Lineage: Eukaryota; Metazoa; Chordata; Mammalia; Artiodactyla; Phocoenidae
Description: lncRNA (ENSPSNG00000022126.1)
Source: RNAcentral